RNAcentral lists this small RNA (1422 nucleotides) under Drosophila pseudoobscura pseudoobscura. RNAcentral describes it as "GA32585". The record is from RNAcentral. Lineage: Eukaryota; Metazoa; Arthropoda; Insecta; Diptera; Drosophilidae.
GUAUUUAUCGAUAGAGCAACAGCUGAGAUCGCCUUUGAAUUCAAUAACAAGUGCAUUUUCAAUGAAUUAGGUAUUUAACUAAGAAACUCAGCUGAAAUGCGCAAUUAUUGACUGCCUUAACUAAGCCCUCGAGUUCGAAACUAUUUAGAAAAGAGUAGGUUCCAGCAUAACAACCUAAAACUGCACGCCGAACCUGCUUCGACUAAAAACACACAAGCCUCUGUUAGUAUUGGUUCAAAAGGGGGGCCCCAAGGUGAAGCGCUAAUGCGACAUCAACAUCAACGCGUGGCUGGAGCUAAUAGUGAUUGCACUAAACCCUUUGCAGCGGGUUGUAUGGAUUCCUCAAAAAUGCACUGACUGGCCAGUUCGAGAAGAUAUUGAAAUAGAACACAAAGCAAGAAGCGAAACGAAGGAAACAAAUGGUGCACUCACGGAAAACAAAACGAGAAAACGCUGAACGCGAGAAAUCUUGUAGCACCGAUGGAGCACCAAAUGAAGAGGAAGAACUGUUCAAGAUAAAAUCGAGGAUUGCUGGAAAGUCGUAAUGGACUAUCUCAACGUAGAAGACCACCUCAGCCUCGCUUCCUCGAACGUGUAUAUCGGCGAGAUGUUCAAGAGAUACAAUCGGUGCAAACGUAUUGAGGAAUUAGUAUUUAGCGACUAAUGUCUGAAACAACUGUUGCAGAUUCUAGGCGGAGCGUUGAAUAGGAGCGGAUGGGAAGAUCUAUACAUCCUGAAAAAGCUCAAAGCCUUGGACGAUACUCUGGGAACUCUGUGGCAGUUCCAGAGAAAGGUCAGGGGAAUAGAGCCGUUCCAAGUGCCCUGCGUAUCGGAUUCCUCUGGAUGGACUGUCAUCCAGAGAUGAGUGAACGGCAACGAGCACUUCAGUCGGCACUGGGCAGACUACAAAAUGAGUUUCGGAAACCUACGCGAGAACUUCUUUCUUGGACUGGAAAAAAUCCAUCGAAUGACCCUGCUACAGCCUCACGAGUUGUAUAUCCAACUCCAAGAUGUCAAUGGAGAAACCAGCUAUGCUCGCUAUGACGAUUUCAGAAUAGGGAGCGAAGAGGUUUUUUGAAUUUUCGCUCACAAAUCGUACUUUCGUGUAUCAUUUAUUCCAAUAGAUUGCAUUUAAAUCCUUUUUGCUCAUUAAUUUUCAAACAAUUUCUAUUUGGCGCUUAAGUUUGGUGGGACUUUUUUGGGAUUUCCUCUGAUGGGAUUUUUCCUCGCCAGAAUUUCCCUUUUCCCUACUCAUACUCACUUACGUUUUCUUACGUCUUAUGUCGCUGGCAACAUUGAGCAACAUUUUGCAUACCCUGGGGAAAGAGAUAUUAUAGAACUUUUACUACGUACGUAAAAGGAUAUUAUAUAAUUGAAGAAAUGUUUGUCAUCUAAUGCACCAAUAAAGGCCAAAACUAGUCA